GGGAUGUUCUUUUCAUAUAUUGUUUCACCAAAUGUUUCUUAAUAUUUGCUAUGUAUUAUUUUCUCAUUACAUUUUUAUUUUUAUUUGAAACAUUGGGGUUGGUUUGUGUCCUGGUUAUUUCAAUACAUUAUAUUUUCUCAUUGAGUUUAAAUUAUUAAUGUCGUUUACAUGUACAGUGAAAACUGAUUAAACUGAAUCCUGUAUAAACCGAAAACCUGUCUAAAUCAAACAUGUUCGUACGCACCGUCAUAUCAAAUUAUGUGCGUUGUGAACCUGAUAAAACCGAACAUUGGCCAAAAUCGAACAAACUCCUAAGUCCCGUUGAGGUUCGGUUUAAACAGGUUUGGAAAGGUUUGUCAUACUAAUUGGGGAUACAUUGUAGGAAUAUGAUAUGGUAUCUGUAAC
RNAcentral lists this long non-coding RNA (405 nucleotides) under Mytilus galloprovincialis (Mediterranean mussel). The record is from RNAcentral. Lineage: Eukaryota; Metazoa; Mollusca; Bivalvia; Mytilida; Mytilidae.